UUUCUCUUUUAUUUAGGUUCUUUUUAUAUAUAUAUAUAUAUAAAAAUUCGAAUCGACGCAAAAAAUAUUAAGUUUUACUAUUAUUAAUAGUAUAUAAAGGAAUACUAUUGGAUUUAACUAAAUAUUAUACAGUCAAAAGGGAAUUAAAAAUUUCUAUUCAAAAUAUUUGUUUUAAAAUUAAACCAAAAUGACUGAAGAAACAAAUGAAGAUUUUCUAAUUACUAGAUUAAAUGAAAUGGCUCUAAAGCCUUCAAGUGAAAGUAGAGUCGAAACUGCAGUUCCAAUGCGUUGUUGGGGACGAGGAUCUAGUCGGCCAGAUAUUGCAGACUUAAAUUUACCAAAAUUUCUACAACUUUAUGACAAACAGAGUAAUGUAAGUUUUAUUUAUUUUUAAUUGCUAUGUAAAUUAUAUUUUUUAGAACUAUGUACAUAAAUGCAGCAGAGUUAGAAAUAUGUGUAAUAUGUUUUACAGUAGCUAUAUAAAUGUUAAAGCAUCACUUUUGAGACAAUAGAUAGCAUCAAAGCAACUUAACUGCUCUUCAGCUGACAUCAG
RNAcentral lists this long non-coding RNA (553 nucleotides) under Androctonus crassicauda. The record is from RNAcentral. Lineage: Eukaryota; Metazoa; Arthropoda; Arachnida; Scorpiones; Buthidae.